AGAGUUUGAUCCUGGCUCAGGACGAACGCUGGCGGCGCGCCUAACACAUGCAAGUCGAACGGAGCUUACUCAGUUGAUUCUUUCGGGAUGACGCAGGGUAAGCUUAGUGGCGAACGGGUGAGUAACACGUGAGGAACCUGCCCUGGAGUGGGGGACAACAGUCGGAAACGGCUGCUAAUACCGCAUAAGCCCACAGAGCCGCAUGGCUCAGCGGGAAAAGGAUUUAUUCGCUUCAGGAUGGACUCGCGUCUGAUUAGAUAGUUGGUGAGGUAACGGCCCACCAAGUCGACGAUCAGUAGCCGGACUGAGAGGUUGAUCGGCCACAUUGGGACUGAGACACGGCCCAGACUCCUACGGGAGGCAGCAGUGGGGAAUAUUGCACAAUGGGGGAAACCCUGAUGCAGCGACGCCGCGUGGAGGAAGAAGGUCUUCGGAUUGUAAACUCCUGUUCUUAGGGACGAUAAUGACGGUACCUAAGAAGAAAGCCACGGCUAACUACGUGCCAGCAGCCGCGGUAAAACGUAGGUGGCAAGCGUUGUCCGGAAUUACUGGGUGUAAAGGGAGCGCAGGCGGGGUGGCAAGUUGGAAGUGAAAACUAUGGGCUCAACCCAUAGAUUGCUUUCAAAACUGCUAUUCUUGAGUGGUGCAGAGGUAGGCGGAAUUCCCGGUGUAGCGGUGGAAUGCGUAGAUAUCGGGAGGAACACCAGUGGCGAAGGCGGCCUACUGGGCA
RNAcentral lists this ribosomal RNA (730 nucleotides) under gut metagenome. RNAcentral's name for it is "bacterial SSU rRNA". It matches the Rfam family "Bacterial small subunit ribosomal RNA", at positions 8 to 735 of the family's 1533-position model. The record is from RNAcentral.